CACUAAAUAAAAUUUCAUUAUUCAAGUAUAACCAGAAGCAAUUGCUAUGCCUAGACGAGUACAACCUUCGAAGAGAGACUUUCAAAACACUGUUUAUUUUUGUCACAGGACUUUUCAUAGUUGCAUCAUUUUCUUAUCUUGUUUUGCUACAGUGCACAUACCUCCUAGAAAAACACGCUUUUCUCUUUCCACCAUAAAAGAAAACCCUACAACUCCCUCUUCUCUCGACCAAUCAUUUUGUAUCCCCACCAUAAGAGAAAACCCUUCAACUCUUUCUCUCUACCUACUAAAGAAAAUCCCGGAUCAGUCAUUCCAAACCCUAAUCUCUUUUCAUCACACAUACACAUGUAUGCAUUUUUACACAAACUUAGCCAACGAUUGUAAUGCAAAGACUAGCGGGCUUCUCAUCGCCUUCGCCUCGAUCGGAUUUUGUAUGGAAGGCGAGACAUCUCUGCUCAAUAAUGGAUUUGUUUUUGCGCUGUUGGAGAAAGUUGGGCUCCUGGCUUCUCUUUAAAGGAUAAAUCUUUACUAGAUUUGGUUGUUUGGUCUUUCAUUUCCCUUUAUUUUUCUUCAAGCUUUAGCGGUUGUUUGGUCUCUAACUUCUCUUUGUUUUCCUUACACGCACGCAUUCAUGUAUGCAUGUAUACACAAACUUCUCCAGCUCAAUUUAUCCAAGGUUUCGUAGCCUGUAAAUUAAUUGAAGUUUUGGAAUUUGUGUUUAAUUAAUUUGACUUCAUUAGUAAUAAUAAUUUAUAAAAGAUGGGUGUAUUCUAUUUAUUUUACUAGGAUAAUUAAUACGAAGAAUAAGGUCGAUUGUUAUCCAUGAUUUUUAUGGAUUUCAUCAUUUUUCAUUAACUUUUAUCAAAAUUUACUAAAAAUUUAAUUGGUACCAAACAAAACCAAGUAUGCUCUUAACACAAGUUAAUUGUUCCAAUUGUCACUGAACUUAAGUCCAUAUCUUUUAUUGGUCAUUGAAAUUUAAAAUGUUGAGUUUUAGUCACUGAACUAAUAUUCAUGUUUUCGAUUGCUCACUGCAACAUUUUUAAAAAUCUAGUGGCUAAAACUCGACAUAUUAAACUUCAAAAAGCAAUCGAAGAUAUGGAUUUAAGUUUAAUAAUAAAAGUUUGACAUUUUAAAUUUUAGUGACCAAUCAAAGGCAUGAAUCUAAGUUCAGUGACCAUUGGAACAAUUGUGGAAAUGGUAGAUAAAGGCCUUUUGACCCGGGUGAAAACUUUUUUUAGCCUUUGACCACAAUUUACAUGAAAAAAAAAUGUGAACUAAAUAUUAAUAUUGCUAUUUCCUAUUUUACCCUUCCAAACUUGUAUGAAUGAAAAUGAAAUCUCUUAUUCCCAUGAAUCGACUUUUCUUCUAGUUUUCAUUUCAUUCCCUCUCUCAAGUCUCAACGAAAGCUAAAAUUUGCAAAAUCAAACAAAAGAAAUUUCAAAUACAAUAAUUUUCUCCUCAAAUCACAAAUGAUCAGUGAUAUUCAACAUUGAGAAGAAGAAAUCCCAUAUCAUAAGUGCUCUUCAAAAUUCUCUGUGUUGCUUUCCUUUUAAUUUGAGGUAAAUUAUAUUGUUCUUCUUCAAUUUCAAGAAGCUAAUAUGGGAUUCCAAUAUUGAUUUUUUGAAAUUGUAGGCAAUUUUAUGUUUCUAGGGUUUAAGUAACUGUUGCGUUUUGAAUUUCUUUUCCCAGUCUUGAUGAAUUGGAUUCUAGGUGGUGUAUAUGCUUAAUGAUAGAUGCUUUCUAUGUUAGAGAAAUUAGGAAUUUUUUUAUGAAACUAAGGCUUUAA
RNAcentral lists this long non-coding RNA (1789 nucleotides) under Olea europaea subsp. europaea. Lineage: Eukaryota; Viridiplantae; Streptophyta; Magnoliopsida; Lamiales; Oleaceae. The record is from RNAcentral.